This 465-nucleotide ribosomal RNA is filed under the name uncultured Klebsiella sp. Its description in RNAcentral is "bacterial SSU rRNA". It matches the Rfam family "Bacterial small subunit ribosomal RNA", at positions 338 to 795 of the family's 1533-position model. Lineage: Bacteria; Pseudomonadati; Pseudomonadota; Gammaproteobacteria; Enterobacterales; Enterobacteriaceae. The record is from RNAcentral.
CCUACGGGUGGCUGCAGUGGGGAAUAUUGCACAAUGGGCGCAAGCCUGAUGCAGCCAUGCCGCGUGUGUGAAGAAGGCCUUCGGGUUGUAAAGCACUUUCAGCGGGGAGGAAGGCGGUGAGGUUAAUAACCUCAUCGAUUGACGUUACCCGCAGAAGAAGCACCGGCUAACUCCGUGCCAGUAGCCGCGGUAAUACGGAGGGUGCAAGCGUUAAUCGGAAUUACUGGGCGUAAAGCGCACGCAGGCGGUCUGUCAAGUCGGAUGUGAAAUCCCCGGGCUCAACCUGGGAACUGCAUUCGAAACUGGCAGGCUAGAGUCUUGUAGAGGGGGGUAGAAUUCCAGGUGUAGCGGUGAAAUGCGUAGAGAUCUGGAGGAAUACCGGUGGCGAAGGCGGCCCCCUGGACAAAGACUGACGCUCAGGUGCGAAAGCGUGGGGAGCAAACAGGAUUAGAUACCCGAGUAGUC